AUUGAACGCUGGCGGCAGGCCUAACACAUGCAAGUCGAACGGUAACAGGAAGCAGCUUGCUGCUUCGCUGACGAGUGGCGGACGGGUGAGUAAUGUCUGGGAAACUGCCUGAUGGAGGGGGAUAACUACUGGAAACGGUAGCUAAUACCGCAUAACGUCGCAAGACCAAAGAGGGGGACCUUAGGGCCUCUUGCCAUCGGAUGUGCCCAGAUGGGAUUAGCUAGUAGGUUGGGUAACGGCUCACCUAGGCGACGAUCCCUAGCUGGUCUGAGAGGAUGACCAGCCACACUGGAACUGAGACACGGUCCAGACUCCUACGGGAGGCAGCAGUGGGGAAUAUUGCACAAUGGGCGCAAGCCUGAUGCAGCCAUGCCGCGUGUAUGAAGAAGGCCUUCGGGUUGCAAAGUACUUUCAGCGGGGAGGAAGGGAGUAAAGUUAAUACCUUUGCUCAUUGACGUUACCCGCAGAAGAAGCACCGGCUAACUCCGUG
Molecule: ribosomal RNA, 490 nt
Filed under: uncultured bacterium
Lineage: Bacteria
Description: partial 16S ribosomal RNA
Rfam family: Bacterial small subunit ribosomal RNA
Source: RNAcentral